RNAcentral lists this ribosomal RNA (536 nucleotides) under uncultured bacterium. RNAcentral describes it as "bacterial SSU rRNA". It matches the Rfam family "Bacterial small subunit ribosomal RNA", at positions 359 to 917 of the family's 1533-position model. The record is from RNAcentral.
GGAUUGGAAAUGGGGGCACCCUGAUCCAGCAAUGCCGCGUGAGUGAUGAAGGCCUUCGGGUUGUNAAGCUCUUUCGGCGGGGAAGAUGAUGACGGUACCCGCAGAAGAAGCCCCGGCUAACUUCGUGCCAGCAGCCGCGGUAAUACGAAGGGGGCUAGCGUUGUUCGGAAUUACUGGGCGUAAAGGGCGCGUAGGCUGUGCUGUAAGUCAGGCGUGAAAUCCCCGGGCUCAACCUGGGAAUUGCGCAUGAUACUGCGGCGCUGGAAUGCAGGAGAGGAUGGCGGAAUUCCCAGUGUAGAGGUGAAAUUCGUAGAUAUUGGGAAGAACACCGGUGGCGAAGGCGGCCAUCUGGCCUGCAAUUGACGCUGAGGCGCGAAAGCGUGGGGAGCAAACAGGAUUAGAUACCCUGGUAGUCCACGCCGUAAACGAUGAGUGCUAGACGUCGGGGGGCUUGCCCUUCGGUGUCGCCGCUAACGCAUUAAGCACUCCGCCUGGGGAGUACGGUCGCAAGAUUAAAACUCAAAAAAAUUGACGGA